This 772-nucleotide long non-coding RNA is filed under the name Triticum aestivum (bread wheat). RNAcentral's name for it is "long non-coding RNA (TAES_LNC006933)". Lineage: Eukaryota; Viridiplantae; Streptophyta; Magnoliopsida; Poales; Poaceae. The record is from RNAcentral.
CCACUCCAUGCUACUGUUAUGUACACGGACGACAAGUUUGUUUGAGAAAGAGUAUGCUUGCUGCCUUUCAUCUAAUAUCAUAUGUUUCUGUUUCCUAUGUGAAACUGAUGGUUCACGUCUCUAACUUCUACUGCUUUAUAGUUUUGCACAAAAGCUUUUCUAACCAUGAUGCUGAUAUACCUAUGAUUGUUACUUCAUGUUCUACUACAUUAGUAGGGAGAUUUUUAUAAAGGUACCAGAAUUUAUCUUCUUCCACAUUAAGUCAAUAUUUAGUAAUGGAGUUCUAUUUUUGUUUGCAAACCAGUUCAUGCAAGGAAGAAAAUCUACUCUGGAUAGUUGAUUUAGUGUUUCUUGAACAUGGCCAGGGCAAUGGAUAAAAUCUACUCUGGAUAGUUGACAGAGGGAGUACAAGCUAAGUUGACUUUUUUCCCGCGGAUUUGCUUAUCGUGAAGAUGCUAGCAAGGAUGCAGAGGGAGCGGAUCAUUUGGAGAGAUAGGAUGCGACUGUUUGGUGUUUUUAUGCAUUUUGUUUUGCUUGUAACUGUGUUUGCACUAGCUGGGAGUAAGUGACUUCAAAAAGUGUAGGUGUUUUAAUUGAAGGCAUGAAAAGCCAUGACAAUAUGUAUACUCUUACAGGAUGUGUUCUAAUGCCGCUGGUUUAUUAUAAAUCUUGGAUUAGUAAUGAUGUGUAAUGCUGCUGGUUUAUUGCAAAUAUGUUUGUUUUAGUUGGAAUUGUAUGCAUGGAAUAUAAUUGGUGGAUUUUAUUUUUUUAA